GACGAACGCUGGCGGCGUGCCUAAUACAUGCAAGUCGAACGAAGCUGUUUUAACUGGUGCUUGCACCUAAUUGACGAGACAUUGGAAUGAGUGGCGGACGGGUGAGUAACACGUGGGUAACCUGCCCAGAAGCGGGGGAUAACAUUUGGAAACAGAUGCUAAUACCGCAUAAAAGUCAAAACCACAUGGUUUUGAUUUAAAAGAUGGCCUUUGUGCUAUCACUUCUGGAUGGACCCGCGGCGUAUUAGCUAGUUGGUAAGGUAACGGCUUACCAAGGGAAUGAUACGUAGCCGAACUGAGAGGUUGAUCGGCCACAAUGGGACUGAGACACGGCCCAUACUCCUACGGGAGGCAGCAGUAGGGAAUCUUCCACAAUGGGCGCAAGCCUGAUGGAGCAACACCGCGUGAGUGAAGAAGGGUUUCGGCUCGUAAAACUCUGUUGUUAAAGAAGAACGUAUCUAAGAGUAACUGCUUAGGUAGUGACGGUAUUUAACCAGAAAGCCACGGCUAACUACGUGCCAGCCGCCGCUGUAA
Molecule: ribosomal RNA, 534 nt
Filed under: uncultured bacterium
Lineage: Bacteria
Description: partial 16S ribosomal RNA
Rfam family: Bacterial small subunit ribosomal RNA
Source: RNAcentral